AUCACUAGUUGUGCCAGCAUCACAUCAGA
This 29-nucleotide small RNA is filed under the name Bombyx mori (domestic silkworm). RNAcentral's name for it is "ovarian small RNA-12418". The record is from RNAcentral. Lineage: Eukaryota; Metazoa; Arthropoda; Insecta; Lepidoptera; Bombycidae.